RNAcentral lists this ribosomal RNA (253 nucleotides) under uncultured bacterium. Its description in RNAcentral is "partial 16S ribosomal RNA". It matches the Rfam family "Bacterial small subunit ribosomal RNA", at positions 524 to 776 of the family's 1533-position model. The record is from RNAcentral.
UACGGAGGGUGCGAGCGUUGUCCGGAAUCAUUGGGCGUAAAGGGCGCGUAGGUGGCUUCUUAAGCGUGCGGUGAAAGCCUGGGGCUCAACCCCGGGUCGGCCGUGCGAACUGGGGGGCUGGAGCACUGUAGAGGCAGGCGGAAUUCCGGGUGUAGCGGUGAAAUUCGUAGAUAUCGGGAGGAACACCUGUGGCGAAGGCGGGUCUCUGGGCCGAUACUGACGCUGAGGAGCGAAAGCGUGGGGAGCAAACAGG